This 460-nucleotide ribosomal RNA is filed under the name uncultured bacterium. RNAcentral's name for it is "partial 16S ribosomal RNA". It matches the Rfam family "Bacterial small subunit ribosomal RNA", at positions 338 to 795 of the family's 1533-position model. The record is from RNAcentral.
CCUACGGGAGGCAGCAGUGAGGAAUAUUGGUCAAUGGACGAGAGUCUGAACCAGCCAAGUAGCGUGAAGGAUGACUGCCCUAUGGGUUGUAAACUUCUUUUAUAUGGGAAUAAAAUGUUCCACGUGUGGGAUUUUGUAUGUACCAUAUGAAUAAGGAUCGGCUAAGUCCGUGCCAGCAGCCGCGGUAAUACGGAGGGUCCGAGCGUUAUCCGGAUUUAUUGGGUUUAAAGGGAGCGUAGGUGGAUUGUUAAGCCAGUUGUGAAAGUUUGCGGCUCAACCGUAAAAUUGCAGUUGAAACUGGCAGUCUUGAGUACAGUAGAGGUGUGCGGAAUUCGUGGUGUAGCGGUGAAAUGCUUAGAUAUCACGAAGAACUCCGAUUGCGAAGGCAGUUCACUGGACUGCAACUGACACUGAGGCUCGAAAGUGUGGGUAUCAAACAGGAUUAGAUACCCCAGUAGUC